Fukomys damarensis (Damara mole-rat) is the source of this 9625-nucleotide RNA transcript. It is a transcript of the gene named chloride voltage-gated channel 4, with no coding region annotated. The record is from RefSeq and is a predicted model, not a curated record. Lineage: Eukaryota; Metazoa; Chordata; Mammalia; Rodentia; Bathyergidae. The transcript has 13 exons.
GCGUGUCCACCUCGUGAAGGUGUAAGUAGCAUGGUCAGUCCGGGAGUGAUGAGCAUCUCCGGAAACCUGAUGGAUUUCCUUGACGAGCCAUUCCCUGAUGUGGGGACCUACGAGGACUUCCACACCAUUGACUGGCUGAGGGAAAAGUCACGGGACACUGACAGACACAGAAAGAUAACCAGCAAAAGCAAGGAGUCCAUCUGGGAGUUCAUCAAGAGUCUUCUGGACGCCUGGUCAGGAUGGGUAGUGAUGCUGCUCAUCGGGCUGCUGGCGGGCACCUUGGCUGGUGUCAUCGAUCUUGCUGUUGACUGGAUGACCGAUCUGAAGGAGGGUGUCUGCCUGUCUGCCUUCUGGUACAGCCAUGAGCAGUGCUGCUGGACGUCCAAUGAAACCACUUUUGAGGACAGGGACAAGUGUCCUUUGUGGCAGAAGUGGUCGGAACUGCUGGUGAAUCAGUCAGAGGGUGCCAGCGCUUACAUUCUGAAUUACUUAAUGUACAUCCUGUGGGCAUUGCUGUUUGCCUUUUUGGCCGUCUCACUGGUGCGCGUAUUUGCACCAUAUGCCUGUGGCUCUGGUAUACCAGAGAUAAAGACCAUUUUGAGCGGCUUUAUCAUCAGAGGCUACUUGGGGAAGUGGACACUGCUAAUCAAGACAGUCACCCUGGUGCUGGUCGUGUCCUCUGGCCUGAGCCUUGGGAAAGAGGGGCCUCUGGUGCAUGUGGCUUGUUGCUGUGGCAACUUCUUCAGCAGCCUUUUCUCCAAGUAUAGCAAGAAUGAGGGCAAAAGGCGUGAGGUGCUUUCAGCUGCAGCUGCUGCUGGGGUCUCUGUGGCCUUUGGUGCUCCCAUCGGGGGUGUGCUCUUCAGUCUGGAGGAGGUCAGUUACUACUUUCCCUUGAAGACCUUGUGGAGGUCAUUUUUUGCAGCCCUGGUGGCAGCCUUCACACUGCGAUCCAUCAACCCCUUUGGGAACAGCCGCCUGGUUCUCUUUUAUGUGGAGUAUCACACUCCCUGGUACAUGGCUGAACUCUUCCCCUUCAUCCUGCUUGGGGUCUUUGGGGGCUUGUGGGGAACACUCUUCACUCGCUGCAACAUCGCCUGGUGCAGGAGACGCAAAACCACCAGGCUGGGGAAGUACCCAGUGUUGGAGGUCAUUGUGGUGACGGCCAUCACUGCCAUCAUCGCCUACCCCAACCCCUACACACGCCAGAGCACCAGCGAGCUCAUUUCUGAGCUGUUCAAUGACUGUGGGGCCCUUGAGUCUUCCCAGCUCUGUGACUAUAUCAACGACCCCAAUAUGACCCGGCCUGUGGAUGACAUUCCAGACCGGCCCGCUGGGAUCGGGGUUUACACAGCCAUGUGGCAGCUGGCCCUGGCCCUCAUCUUCAAAAUCGUCAUUACCAUAUUUACCUUUGGCAUGAAGAUCCCCUCAGGACUCUUCAUCCCCAGCAUGGCUGUGGGAGCCAUGGCAGGCAGGAUGGUGGGGAUUGGUGUGGAGCAGCUGGCUUACCAUCACCAUGACUGGAUUAUCUUCAGGAACUGGUGCAGACCUGGGGCAGACUGCGUCACCCCAGGACUUUAUGCAAUGGUGGGAGCUGCAGCCUGCCUAGGUGGAGUUACCAGGAUGACAGUAUCACUGGUGGUCAUCAUGUUUGAAUUAACGGGUGGUCUGGAGUACAUUGUGCCCCUGAUGGCGGCAGCCGUGACCAGCAAGUGGGUGGCUGAUGCCUUUGGGAAAGAGGGCAUCUAUGAAGCCCACAUCCACCUGAAUGGGUACCCAUUUCUUGAUGUGAAGGAUGAGUUCACCCACCGUACCCUGGCCACUGAUGUGAUGCGGCCCCGGCGAGGAGAGCCUCCACUCUCCGUGCUCACCCAGGACAGCAUGACUGUGGAGGAUGUGGAGACGCUUAUCAAGGAGACAGAUUACAACGGCUUCCCUGUGGUGGUCUCCAGAGACUCUGAGCGCCUCAUUGGGUUCGCUCAGAGGAGGGAGCUGAUCCUUGCAAUAAAGAAUGCCAGACAGAGGCAGGAGGGCAUUGUGAGCAAUUCCAUCAUGUACUUUACUGAGGAGCCUCCUGAACUGCCAGCCAACAGCCCGCACCCCUUAAAGCUGAGGCGCAUCCUGAAUCUCAGCCCUUUCACGGUCACGGACCACACCCCCAUGGAGACAGUGGUAGACAUCUUCCGGAAACUGGGACUCCGCCAGUGCCUGGUGACUCGGAGUGGGAGACUUCUUGGCAUCAUCACGAAAAAGGAUGUUUUGAGACACAUGGCCCAGAUGGCAAACCAGGACCCUGAAUCCAUCAUGUUUAAUUAGCAACAAGGUGGCAAUUAUUUUGAGAAACAACAUUGACUAUAUCAUUUUAAAAUAAAUAAACAAAUAAAUGAAUGAUACAUUAUUAUCCCAGUGAAAGAUCAUGCACUGGCAGCAGCAGAAACAAAAGCUUUCUUUGAAAGGAGAGAAGAAGGGUGAAAUCUUUUUUUUUUUUUAAAGCAAAACCAUCAAUGAUAGACAUUUCAUAGCUUUAACCCCUUAUGAGUUUCAAGCUGUGUUUCUUAAUGAGUUUGCUAACUGCUGUGGGGGCAUGUGGGUGGUUGUAAAUGAUGUGGUUUCUAUGAUGAUACGGAACACAAAUGCUGAAUGGAGAACCUCUGGCCCUGUCUGCUCAAGGCUGAUGUUUGUUUGUAACUUCAGAACACAUGUGAAGCUUUGAGUCCAAAGAACAAAGGGGUACUGGCAUGGCAAUGUUCUUAUUUAUUGAUUCUUGAAAUUUUGCUGCUAUGUUACUGAAUCAUGCUAACGACAUUUGCACUUACUUUGCUGGAAAAGAAAAAUUAAAGGUGAAGAGUGAAAGCUGCAAGUUACCCCCAGUGGGUGUGCUCAUGACUGUCCCAUUUCUUGCUCCUCUUCUCAGCCCAUUGCCCAUUAUUUUUGCUUAUUUAUCCACUUUUGAGCCAACAUCAUAGAUGCUUGCCAUGAUGACCCUGAAGAAAACAUUUCACUGUGUCAGAUCGACACCUUGGGACUGACGAGCACCUUGGCCUGGAUGAGGAACCACGGAAGCAUGUUGUGUUGCAUGUCGUUCCCUCUCAGGUGAGAGGCUGUAUCCUUAUUUUGAGGGACAUGUACCUGAGUACUGACUUACAUCCCCAUUGCAUUUGCUUCAUUUACUUAUUCCUGUUGCCUGUGCAUUCUUAAUAAUUGAUCAGUCCGGCACUUUCCGUGGGUUGUGGCCUGUAUGCGCUCUGCUUGCCACACGUGUGUUUUAAUUUCCAAGUAGCAUAUAUGCAAGAGUCAAAACUGGCUCCCUACUGUUUCUACUUAUUUUUCCUAUGACUGUGAAGAGGAUGAGGCAUACACGUUCUCAGUGGGAACUCCUCCAAAUGGAUUGGAAGAGAGAUACUAAAUUGAUUCUAAAUCUGUUCCAUUCUCUUCGCUGUAGGAUGCAAAAUGUCCAGUUUUAAUGUCUAAGCAUGCACUUUCAUACGAACAAUCACAGAACAGAAGGACAGAGUUCAAUGUCAUAUAGCCAAUUUAAGAAGUGGGCGUGUGUAUUUGACGUAAUGAUGCAUUUAUUCUUUUCAUCAGGACUUUCUGUCUUUCCUGCAGGGUGGAACUAAGCUGUGUAUUAGGCCCAUUCUGUGAUUAGUCUGAUUUACCUCACUUGCUUCUUCACUUUAGUCUUCAUCCCUCCUUUUGCCCAGAAUCAUCCUCAUCUUUUUCCAUCUCAUUGCCAUUGAAUAUUGAUGUUUCAGGUUCAUGUGCACCUGACUGCAAAUAAUAGGAAACCCAAAAGUAGUGAAGGGCUGAAUAAGAAAUCUGGGGGAGAAGCACCCCAGGGCUGUCUCCAUAAUAUCAACAGGGAUCCAAACUGUUUGGCAUUUCUUUUCUAUCAUCCUCAUCCUCUGUCCUUUGACAUAUUGCCUCAUAGUCGCAAGGUGGUUGCGGAACCUCCAGGUAUUAUGUCUGCUUUCUAAGUGGGAAAAAGAAGACAGAGGCAAUUAACAAGGUGCAAAGUCUGUAUCAGGAGAGCAGAGCUUUCCCCAACAUGUUCAGCAACACCUAUUGGGUAGAAUUCUGUUGCUUGGUGCUCUAUACCUGCAUGCAAGCCUGGGAAGGGCACAUUACUCUCUAAAUGAAAUUUAAGUUUUCCUCAUAAGAAGAGGGAUUGGUUCUUGGUAGGAGAAUAUAUCUGCCAUAUGAAAUUCCCUGUUACUGCCCUUUGCAUCUUCCUUGCCCUUUCAUUCUUGACAAACUCCUCCCAAACAUUCUUCUAACCACUUUGUUUCCUGCGUUUUCUAUCAGAUUGACAUAGACUACCUAAUCAGAAUCUAUCAUUUCUUAGUCUUAAUCAGAAUUGUCAUUUUGAUAGAAACUGAGCUACAAGUGGGGUUCUCUUAAAAAAUUCUAGUUAUAAAGAGUCUUGUUCUCUGGAUUAAAAUGUUUAAGUCAAGUCAUGCUGUCAACUAUGGAAAAUGUUUCCGUUAUCAAUUGCUCCCCUCCAGAUUAACAUCAGAUAGCCACAUCAGCAAGGAAAUGUCCAGUUAACAGAGGAAUUUCAACUUUGGUCUUAGAAUGAAAUUUGUUGUCUCAUUCACAGCACAAAUAUUAAGCAACAAAUCUUAGUGUUAUUAUUGGAGUUUCCACAGAACAUGUGCAGUUGAUCAGGAUUCUCCUGCACUAUAAAUCCUAAAAUUUUAGAGUUUAUCUCAUUUAGUUUCCCUCAUAUCCCUGUGUGUCUCACCUCAAAGCUGGCCAGUAACAGGAAGAGUAUUUGUCAGAGCCUGACCUCUUAUAAUCUGGGAGGCCCUUUUAGCUGAAACAGAUAGCUUUAGAGAGAACAGAAAAUAGUACACAGGUAGCCAAAGGUCAGUGAAACAGCAGAAUUUUCAUCUAACCUAGAGGCCAUGGAAGGGGCUGAGGGGAUGGUUUUCUCCAGGCCAGGGUCACCAAGAGGGAAGUUGAGAGUUGUGCCCUUCUCCCAGUGCUCAGCACAGAGAUGUUCAGGACUGUAUCGGAAGCCAUUGCAAGAAUGACUUUGGAAAUAAUCCAGUCUUCUUUUCUUUGCAAGUUGAUCCUGGAGUAUGGUGUGGGAAGACUCAGACUCUCCUCCAUAGGAAGACAGGGUCAGAUAGGCAGGGGAAGGGCAGGGAUGGGGAGUCUGUAGUCAGGACUGCUAUAGUUAAUGGCCUUCUUCCCAAGGAGUCCACCUUAGCCACGUGGUCCACUCACUGGCUAAGUCAGGCCUCAUCCGAGUUCCAAAGGGACAUUGCCCAGCUCUGGGUCACUCUUGUAGAAGUACCCAGGUGGGAUUCUGAGGGUGUUUGCUGUAUGCCAGUGCAGAAUUUCAAUCCACUUUACCUGGUGCGAGGUAAAAUAAAUAUCUUUCUGAACAAUGUUUGUUUCUUUUCCAGAUAUUUGUAUAACUCUUUUCUCUGAAUCUGUUUUUAAUGUACAAAACCAUGGCACACAGUGGAAGAGGAGUUCUCAGCAAGGCACAUCACUUGUGUCUUAUUUUCCCCUCUCUACUACUGAGGAAAUGGGCUACAAGACACCAGAUAAAGGAAUCCUGGAAGUGAUAGAGGUCUGCCAUUCCUGAUCUGCAAACCACAUCCGGACAUACAUAAUUCAAGGAUGCACAUCGGUCGCCCAGACUGAGGGGACAGGAAUAUAUGCCCAGGAAAGAACGUUUCAAGCAAACGCUCACAGCACCAGCUGCCAACGGGAGAAGAAAAGCAGAGAGGACUCCCGCAGACCGACGUGGGAAAGUAGAAACAAUGAUUACAGGGUCUGAGAAAGGGCCCCUAGUUGGAUGAAAUCACAUCGUCUGAUUUGGGUUUUGAUUUUGUAAUUACCCGGACCUCAAGAAUAUAACUGCAGCACACGUACUGUUUCCAAAGUGGGUGGGACCAUGUGAGCCCGUGACGAUUUCAAGCCUGCACUUUGACAUUCAAGUUGGAAUCUAAGAGUUAACAAGAGCAAGCCCUGCUUUAAAUAGUAGCUUAAUUUUAAGUUCCACAUCAUGGUCCCUGGAAGCAGAUGGGGCAACUUGUGCUUCUAUUUUCUUUCUUCAGUCUGGAGCUAAUAUAGAAUAUUGAUUCCUAAUGUGAGAAUUUUGAGGGUGAAAACUUGAGAUUGGCUUUCUUGGUCAAAUUUGUGUUUCUCAAGGUCAAGGAACUAUGUCUCCAUUCUUUCCUUGUCAGCUCAGGUACCAUGUAUAUUGAUGAUUAUCAAUGGAAACAUUUAAAGAGUGGAAAAAUGCUGAAAACCUCUUUUUUAGCUGUGACCUUUUAGAAUAAAUCAGGAAAUUACCCCCGACAGAGUUUUCUGGAGAUGUGGAGAAUUUUCCCAGAAGCAACCCACCUGCCAUUGUGUAAAAUGUCACAAAAACACUAGAUGUCAAAAGAAUAUAGUAAUCGUCUUCGUGUUGGAUGGCCUGAGAGGGGUUGUUUAGUUGAGAGACCCCGAAUUUCUAAAGAACAAAUAUGAAAGUGGAGUCUGAAGACUCUCCCUGUCCUAGUGUAUCUUUGAUCAAACUGAACCUGCAAAGAAGUGUGGCAGGCUCUAAAUGCCGCAGAGACUAGCUGCUCAGGAAAUACAUGCUGGUGACUUUACUGAACAUGUCACAUCAAAGGGAAAAAAAUGCCCCACUGAGUGGAAAGUUCUGCUGGUGUACAAUGUCAAGAGAGAAUAGAAAUGAGAUUAAAUUUCAGGAUUUCUGGAUUUGGUUAAUAGAUUCUGUCUUUCAAAUAUAAGAACUUGAAGUGAUUCUGUUGCUUUAGGAGAAAAAUAUCCAAAGGUGCAUCUGAGAACCAAGUCUGAAGAGGAAUGAAAAUAUAACUAAUCUAGAGAGAGAGAGAGAGAGUAUUGUAAUCCUUAGACAAGUGGUGCAAAAAAUUAUUUUCAGCCGUGGCAUCCAAGAUGGCUGCAGUUCCCUAGCACAGAUACUUCCAAAAGCUGAUUCCAGGUUUUAGGCAAGUCCCAGUUCACCAUUUGCAAUGUGUUCUCCCAAGGAGUUCAGAAUAUGCCAUCCCAAAAUAUGCAGCUCUGGCACAUUGACUAUUUUGAAAUAAAGGCACUCAAAACAAGAGAAGAAAUUCCCAUGUGAAAGACCUCCUUUUUGUAGGAAAAGGAAUAACAUUCUUACUAUCAGUGACAGGAAGCUGAAACCAAGAGAAAUCUGUACAGACCUUGUUAAAGUGUCUCUUGUCUUUGAAGCACCCUCACAUAAUUCAAUUGCUUUGGUACAGUUUACUAUUUUUUGCCCAAUUCAACAUAUAGUUUUUGUCUAAUUCAACAUAUAGUGAUUGUGUCUAACUGCCUCUGAGUCUUCAUUCCUUCUUAUACCUCAUAAAACUUGCAUUAGAUAAAUGUGUAUGCUUUUCUCUUGUCAGUCUAUCUUGAGUGAAGUUAGUUCUCCAGCCCAGCCAGGAACCUAAGAGGAUGCAGGUGGAGUUUUGCUACCCCUACAGCUCCUUUCUUGAGAUUGGAGGAGCCUAGAGCAAAAUGUUGGAGAAUGAUUUGGGGAGAAUAAACAUUCUAACUUAUAUACUAUAAAGAAGAAGACUAUGCUGCGGUAUUUCACAUCAUUAACAAGCCACUUAAACCCCACUUUGCAGCUGCUGAUACAGAAAUGCCUUGCUAGAUGUCAGCUCUUGCACUCCACAAUAGCUGUGAAGGCUUGUGAUGGCCCCAUCGGAACGAUCAAUGAUUAAAACCCAGAAACCUAAGCCAGUGCAGCCAUUUCAUUUAUGUUUCCUUCUGUUAGGGGCCAAAAGGUCAAGCUAUCUUGGUUUCUCUUCCUUUUCUCUUUCCUUUCUUCUAGGCGGCUAGCUCUAUCUCACCAUGACCCCCGCCCCAAUGCUUGAGAUAAAAAAUGCCAUUUUGCUCCAGACUGGGCCAGUCAAAGUGUCUCUGACUACCUCGGAUCCUCACAUUUUCCAGAGGGCAGCAGCUACAAAUUAAAUAAAUCUCUACUCCUCUCGAUACACAUCAUUUCACUAGGAGUGAUAGACUUGUUUAUUCCAGUCUCACCUUCUUGAGACUAAGGGUCUGAGAAGACCAGGUGGAGAACUGCAUCUUGCCAAAGGUGAAUUACUGUAGCUGGGAUCUGAUUUAGAAUCAAGUGAUGUUUGGUCACCGUACUCACAGAGAUGUACUUAUCUAUUGAAGAGUUUUUCUUUGGCAUAGGAUGGACAUGGAUUUUGAGUCCAGGUUUUGCUAAUUCCUAGGUAUAAAACCACAGGCAAAUCACUUAACAUCUCUAAGUUUUAGUUUUCUCAUAUAUAAAAGAUGUUAAUUCAUGUAUCUUUACAAACUUGUUGAAUACAGUAUCUGGCAUAGCAUAAAUGUUUACAAAUAUGAUUGUGGUGGACAAAACUGAAGCUCAUUAAAUCCAUAGUCUUUUCUUCCUGUGCUCAUGGCUUAACUACAUUUCCCAGCUUCCUUUGCAAGUAGAUGUGACCACAUACUGCUUCUAGCCAAUGGAAUAAGAGCAGAAAUGAGAUUCAUAAACACAGUGUGUAAUCCUCUGCAGUCUUCGUUUCUGCUGGGCUGAAAUUGUGUUGUGGUUUAGAUCAAGAACAUCCCCCAAGAACCUCCAAGGUUGGACUUGUGGAAAGUGAUUGGACUAUGGGGACCUAGAGCUGACUUUCUGUUACGAGGUAGAGCAUAGUUAGAAGCAGAUCACCGGGGACGGGACCCGGAAGGGUCCCUGCAUAGCUCCCUGUUGUCUGUUUCCUGGCUGCCAUGAAGUGAGCAGCUUUCCUCCAUCUAGGCCAUUCUGCCAUGCUAUUACUGGACUGCUGAACAUGGUCUGAAACUUCUGAACUAUGAGCCAAAAUGAACCAUUCUGUCUUUAAGUUACUGGUGUUAGGUAUUUUAUCCCAGUGAUGAGGAAAGUGACUAAGAUAAAUGGAGAUGGUCCAGGAUGACCUUCGAAUCCAUGUGUUGAAGAUGGCAGCUCUGAAGGACCAUAGAGGACUAUAGUGGCCUGUUUACCUGCCCAGGACUGUCAUGUGAGUAAGAAACCAAGUUUGCUGGUGUUGAGUUGUUUUCCACUUUGCAGUCAGUUUGAUAAACUCCUAGAAGUAGGACGAAUCCAGUUUGUACCAGGUCACAAAAGUUGUUGGUUACAUUUACUGCAGGAGCUUUGGGAGUCAUUUGAUGUCAUAUUUCUAAGGUUGAAAUCAGCCAUGGUGGGAAUAUUUACACCACAGAAAAUGGCAGAUACUAUAAAUCAGGACUCUUUUUCUCCUCGCUGGAACAUUUACCAGAACAUCACUGGUAGGGAAUACAUUAUGUUCCUCAUUACCUUAUCCUAAAGCUUCAUAACCUGAUGCAUUGUACAUUUGUAUGACUCAAAAAGUGUUUGUGGCUAUGAAUCAAGGUAAGACUUGAAUAAAUCAAAAGAAAAUCAUAAAAGGAUGAAAAUAAUAUUUAGGUUUAGAUAGAGAUAUGACAAAGGGAAAAUGACAGUUUAAUCUUUGCCUGUCUGAAAUAGAGAUAUUUGGGCUCAAGGGCAUAUUUUUGUGUCUUGGGUCUCUUUAGUAAUUUCAGGUCCCUCUGGAUAAAGAAGAUGUGGUUUCUUUAUAAGAUGGAGUUCUACUCAGCCAUAAAGAGUGAGAAA